RNAcentral lists this transfer RNA (64 nucleotides) under Parevania sp. ZJUH_2016024. Its description in RNAcentral is "tRNA-Glu". The record is from RNAcentral. Lineage: Eukaryota; Metazoa; Arthropoda; Insecta; Hymenoptera; Evaniidae.
AUCUAGAUAGUUUAAUAAAAACAUUAUAUUUUCAUUAUAAAAAUAUCCUCAUAAAUUUUAGAUA